CCGGAGAGGCGAUGGAUGGACGGAGCUCAGCCCUUUGCGCCGAGAGUGCCCAGCAUCCCGGCCGCGGAGCCGCACCGAGGAGGGCGCAGACAGACGGGAGGAAGAGCGGAGCGAUCCCCACCGAGAAGGAUCCCCUUGAUGUAGCAAACAUAGGAUUACAAGCUUCUCCACGGAGAGAGCAGCGUGGGGAGCAGGAGGGAUUGGUCCAGGUCAACACAGUGCACUGGUGACAAGUAACAGCUAGCUCCAUUCUUCAAAGAAUUACCUGAAGCCCCAGAAACUUUUUGAAAGCACGUACAACGCGCCUGUGUUCAAUAGGUCUGAGAAAUCUAACAUGUAGUAAACCCAUCACUAAUUAUUGGCAAGAAAAGAUAAUAAAGUAACUUGUCAAACCUUGACUUUAUCUGCAUUUAUGAUGCAUUCAAUACCAUGUCAGAUCUAAAAAUUUAUGCAUUUGGCAUGUAUAACUGGACACUCGCAUUUGUUUAAUAUAGAAAUUCUAUUUCUACUAUUGCUAGUCUCAGAAAAAAAAAGUCACUUGAAAAAGAAAUUUAUACUUGACAGCACAAGGAUGGCCACCUCCUUUUAUGUUGACAAACAUUUGUAUGCAUUAUACCAUACAGUGAUUUCAGCAUCUUUCAUUAGUGUACAUUGGUUAUGUUGAUGCAGUUAUUUAGUUCCUCUCAAUAAUUCAGUGAAAGAAAAGCAAACCUAUACCGUAACUGU
Grus americana (Whooping crane) is the source of this 726-nucleotide long non-coding RNA. RefSeq lists it as uncharacterized. The transcript is spliced from 3 exons. The record is from RefSeq and is a predicted model, not a curated record. NCBI's taxonomy places the organism in Eukaryota, Metazoa, Chordata, Aves, Gruiformes, Gruidae.